Molecule: ribosomal RNA, 304 nt
Filed under: uncultured bacterium
Lineage: Bacteria
Description: partial 16S ribosomal RNA
Rfam family: Bacterial small subunit ribosomal RNA
Source: RNAcentral
CAGCAGUCGCCGCGGUAAAACGGAGGGUGCAAGCGUUAAUCGGAAUUACUGGGCGUAAAGCGCACGCAGGCGGUUUGUUAAGUCAGAUGUGAAAUCCCCGAGCUUAACUCGGGAACUGCAUUUGAAACUGGCAAGCUAGAGUCUUGUAGAGGGGGGUAGAAUUCCAGGUGUAGCGGUGAAAUGCGUAGAGAUCUGGAGGAAUACCGGUGGCGAAGGCGGCCCCCUGGACAAAGACUGACGCUCAGGUGCGAAAGCGUGGGGAGCAAACAGGAUUAGAUACCCCAGUAGUCCCUGUCUCUUAUAC